AGCAGCCGCGGUAAUUCCAGCUCCAAUAGCGUAUAUUAAAGUUGUUGCAGUUAAAAAGCUCGUAGUUGAAUUUCGGGAUCAGUUGGUCGGUCGUGCCUCGGUACGUACUGGUCAAAUUGAUUCCUACCUUCUGACGAACCACGAUGUCAUUAAUUUGGUGUCGCGGGAAAUCAGGACUGUUACUUUGAAAAAAUUAGAGUGUUUAAAGCAGGCUCGCGCUUGAAUACAUUAGCAUGGAAUAAUGAAAUAGGACGUUUGAUUCUAUUUUGUUGGUUUCUAGGAUCGACGUAAUGAUUAAUAGGAAUAGUUGGGGGCAUUAGUAUUCAAUUGUCAGAGGUGAAAUUCUUGGAUUUAUUGAAGACUAACUACUGCGAAAGCAUUUGCCAAGGAUGUUUUCAUUAAUCAAGAACGAAAGUUAGGGGAUCGAAGACGAUCAGAUACCGUCGUAGUCUUAACCAUAAACUAUGCCGACUAGGGAUCGGAUGAUGUUAAUUUUUUAAUGACUCAUUCGGCGCCUUAC
This 520-nucleotide unclassified non-coding RNA is filed under the name uncultured Glomus. RNAcentral's name for it is "SSU rRNA". It matches the Rfam family "Eukaryotic small subunit ribosomal RNA", at positions 569 to 1091 of the family's 1831-position model. The record is from RNAcentral. Lineage: Eukaryota; Fungi; Glomeromycota; Glomeromycetes; Glomerales; Glomeraceae.